CAGUAGCCACGGUAAUACGGAGGGAGCUAGCGUUGUUCGGAAUCACUGGGCGUAAGGCGCACGUAGGCGGCUAUUCAAGUCAGGGGCGAAAGCCCGGGGCUCAACCCCGGAACUGCCUUUGAAACUAGAUAGCUUGAAUCUUGGAGAGGCGAGUGGAAUUCCGAGUGUAGAGGUGAAAUUCGUAGAUAUUCGGAAGAACACCAGUGGCGAAGGCGACUCGCUGGACAAGUAUUGACGCUGAGGUGCGAGAGCGUGGGGAGCGAACAGGAUUAGAUACCCCUGUAGUCCCUGUCUCUUAUAC
This 301-nucleotide ribosomal RNA is filed under the name uncultured bacterium. RNAcentral's name for it is "partial 16S ribosomal RNA". It matches the Rfam family "Bacterial small subunit ribosomal RNA", at positions 509 to 807 of the family's 1533-position model. The record is from RNAcentral.